CAAUAAAAAGCAUUAAGCACAGAGAUGAGAAAAAUAAUUCAAUAAACUCAUUCAUAUAAAUAGAAAUCAAAUCAUAAAAAUAAGGGUUUCAUCUUGUUACACUCAUCCCUAACAAAUAGGGUUUAGUUACUCAUGACAGAGAUAAAAGAGAUAGAGAUUAGAGAAGAAUUACAAGAAGGAUUCAUGAAUGAUUCUUGAUAAAACUGCUCCAAUGAUGUUAGAAACGGCCGUCUUUGAGUUUCUAUGCUAGGGCACAAGUCUCCCAACUUCC
RNAcentral lists this long non-coding RNA (271 nucleotides) under Cicer arietinum (chickpea). RNAcentral's name for it is "long non-coding RNA (CARI_LNC002051)". Lineage: Eukaryota; Viridiplantae; Streptophyta; Magnoliopsida; Fabales; Fabaceae. The record is from RNAcentral.